RNA transcript from Patella vulgata (common limpet), 1503 nucleotides. It is a transcript of the gene named transmembrane prolyl 4-hydroxylase, with no coding region annotated. The transcript has 8 exons. NCBI's taxonomy places the organism in Eukaryota, Metazoa, Mollusca, Gastropoda, Patellidae. The record is from RefSeq and is a predicted model, not a curated record.
UAUUUAAAAGACUCGUUGAGAAUGAGAUUCCAUUAUGGAGGAGAUCAUAGCCACAAAUAUUAAGGGAACGGGUGGCGAGUGUUGUGGCUUUCUUGGUCUGAUACGGGUGGUUGGGUUUGUAAUGGAAAUAAUGAUUGUUGUGGGCUGGUUUCCUAUUCACUGAAUUUUGGAUCGAUUUGUUGUUUCUGCGGACAAUGACCCUAAUACGAGUGACGCAGUCAGGAGCCGACAAAUUGACUAAGUUAUUUAAAGGAGCUAAAUCGCUAACAUUUGGGACCAAGAAAUUGACAAAAGUGGGUCGCAACGCAUAUAAUACUGUAAUAUGAAUGUAUAUAAACUGAUUUACAUUCAAUGCUCAUGGUUUCCGUUUUACUCCAAUUUCAAAUCAGUUAUAGUCGGCGAAAUAAACCAGCAGUCUCAAGCGAGUGCAAAUUUCUAGCGUCUGGUUAUUCCAGUCUACAUACGCCGUUUGAUUUGGUGCAAUGUGUCUAGCCUCGUCCCUCGAGUCUCUUGAUACAACUGGAACUGAAGCGCAUUAUGGUGCAUGAUUCGUGUACCAAUGGUAGAAUGUUUAUUUUGUCUUAAAUAUUGGAUAUCAAAAGCCCAUCUUUUUCCGAUUGGGGAUGAAAAUACCUUCAAUUUUGGUGAUCGGAUUUUAAGACGCGUGACCCGUGCUAAAGACCCCCCAGUGUACGUCAUACAUGAUUUCUUAAAAGAGGAUGAGGCCGACAAGUUAAGAAACCAUGCUGUAAAAAUGGAUUUAGAGCCGAGUACUUCUCAUGCUGAUGGAAUAACCUUUCCAUAUAAAGGAUUUGGAAGAAAAAGUAAAACUACAUGGAUACAUCAUACAGAUUAUGAUAAGAUUGUUAAAAAACUAAGCAGACGGUUCAAACGGUUAACAGAAUUACCAAUACAGUAUAUAGAGAAUGCUGAAAUGCUUCAGGUUGUACAAUAUAAAAAACACGGCCAUUAUUAUACACAUACUGAUUCACAUAAUACUGUUGCCAACCGUCCAUGUUGUGGUAAGGUCGAGUGUGAUGAAAACAGCAAAUUUUGUUGUCAGUUAUGCAGAUAUAUAACAGUGAUGGUAUAUCUAAAUGAUGUCAAUGAAGGGGGUGAGACUGUUUUUCCAGUUGCAGAUGCUAGCGACGAAACGUUAAAGAAAUACCAAAAAGAAAAGCCGUAUGAUUUGUCUAAACAUUGUUAUAAUUCAUCGCUUAUUAUAACACCAAGCAAAGGAAUGGCUGUCAUGUGGUAUAAUCACAAGCUAAAUCCAAGGUUUUCUGGAUUAGGAGAUCUCAUAGAGCGUUCAUAUCAUGGUGGAUGUGAUGUAAUAAAGGGUGAAAAAUGGAUUGCAAAUCUGUGGAUUGUUGUUGACCCUUAAAUUUGACAACGCAAAUACAUCCUUUUAACAAUUAAUUUUGUGAUACAAUGAAUUCAUUGAUACUUAUCAGUAAUGGGCAAUAAAAAAAUUACUAUAUAAUAAAAAAUUUAUACAGAAAA